This 966-nucleotide long non-coding RNA is filed under the name Homo sapiens (human). RNAcentral's name for it is "HSALNT0114481". Lineage: Eukaryota; Metazoa; Chordata; Mammalia; Primates; Hominidae. The record is from RNAcentral.
UGAAAAUGAUUUUUAUAAAUUCAGAUGUCAAUUAGAAUAAAAUAUUUGAUAUUCUCUUUUUUUUUGCUUUUGUUUUGUUUUUGUUUUUUGAGACACAGUCUCACUCUGUCACCCAGGUUAGAGUCAGGUGGCACAAUACAGCUCACUGUAGCCUUGACCUCCCAAACCUCAUGUAAUCCUCCCGCCUCAGCCUGCUGAGUACCUGGGACUACAGGCAUGUGGCACCUGUAGUGGAAUAUUUUGUGUAGAGAGGUCUACAGUGUUGCCUAGGUUGGUCUUGAACUCCUGGGUACAGGCAUUCCUCCCACCUCAGCCCCCCAAAGUUCCGGGAUUACAGGUGUGAGCCACCUCACUGGGCCUGAUAUAAUCAUAAAUACAUUUUAAUAUUGAUACUUGUAGUAUCUGGUUCACACUGCAUGUGAAAAUAACAAAAUCAAGAGUUUAAAUACCCUAGGAGCAAAAGAAAGACCUGUAGAACACUGGAACAUUUUUCUGUUUCAUUGUCCUAAGCCUCAAUCUAUCAUGUAUACCAAGUAACUUCCGCCCUUUUUUGGUUCUCAGGGGUUGCAAAAUAAAGCACAGAACCUUCCUAGGAAGAGUUCACUGGCCAAGAGAGAUGAUAGUUCUUACACAUUCAAAACUAUUUAAACUCAAAGAAUAAUUGGUUUAUUUAUAAAGAUCUAAAAUGUAAUCAGUGAUACCCAACUAGAGCAAAUACAUUCUCUGCCAUAGCACUUAACUGCAUUAAAUAUUGCCUUAAAUUUGACACCUUAUAUAUAUUGUGUGUGUGUUUUUAAAUUUCAUGUGCAUGUGACUUUUCUACUGAAUAAUAUUAUUAAACUUCUGUGCAUUGGGUUAUGUUUAUAGUCAUCAUUUUGAUAAGCAGUAGCAUACUGCUUAGUCACGUAACAGGUGCUUGGUUAAUAUUUAUUGAAUUAAAUUGGAAUGUGUAGUUGACCUGGUCCA